This 291-nucleotide long non-coding RNA is filed under the name Chloebia gouldiae (Gouldian finch). RNAcentral describes it as "Erythrura gouldiae (Gouldian finch) lncRNA (ENSEGOG00005004744.1)". The record is from RNAcentral. Lineage: Eukaryota; Metazoa; Chordata; Aves; Passeriformes; Passeridae.
GCCAAGCCCCAGUAUCACAGAAUUGAAGCUCCUCAGGAGACCAUCAGGUGGAAGAAAUCCCAGAACCCAAUCCCCCACAGAAGGAUUGUGAAGAAUUCAUGCCUGAAGAGCACUUUGUGGGAAUUGUCUUUUAAGACUGAAUUAUUGAGGUAUGGACAAACCUCUGCUUUCUUUUCACAGCUUUAUGUUGGUAGAAGGUGUAAUAUCCAUCCUGGCUUCCAAAGUUUCUCACCUACUUUCUGCAUUUUGGUGGAGUCUCAGCUGUUACAGCUGAGUGCAAAAGUCUUGUAA